This 796-nucleotide long non-coding RNA is filed under the name Bos taurus (domestic cattle). RNAcentral describes it as "long non-coding RNA NONBTAT005907". The record is from RNAcentral. Lineage: Eukaryota; Metazoa; Chordata; Mammalia; Artiodactyla; Bovidae.
CUAGAAAAGUUGAUAAAACUCAGGGUCAAAAACCCCUCAAUACAUACUAGGUAAGCAAUCUAAAGUGUACCAGAGGUAAGAAAAAAUCUGGAUUUAGACACUACAUUCUUAUGUUUAAUGAGUAAUUAGCCACUUUGCUGCACAGAAACUCACAAUUAUUCCCUUAAAACUCUUUAAAAAGUAAAAACUCAUUUGCCUCUAUAAUUACAAAACAUGAGUUGAUAUCUUGAACAACUACAUUUAAAAUCCACGAUCAAACUCAGGAGGCAACUUUCAGUUAGUGCUAAACUGCAGACUUCCCAGGAUUCUAGUCACAUGUGUAUCCGGCUUUGAAGAGGAACCCAAAGUCAUUGCUGUCCAGCCCCCAUGCCGGCUGGCGCCUCUGCCUUUCAGGAGGGAGAGUGAGGGGAGAGGGAAGGACCAAGAAUGGCCACCAAGAAGGCCUUUUAAGUUUAAAUAACAUUGGGUCAUUUCCCCUACUUAAAACCAUCCACUGACAGAGAAGGGUGGCUUUUAACUGGACCAUCAGCCAAGAAAUCUGCUCAACUCAAUACCUGGCUUGGAAAAGUCAGAGCCAAAACCUACAUCUUCGAGGCGGCAGAGCCUGAGUCCUGCGUGCACGGCUCCAGGUGACACCACUCCCCCACGUUACAAACCACCACAAUGAGCGCUCCGGCACCCGGCCUCCGAGUCUUCACACGCAUUUCACAAAGACACAAUGCCAGCUCCAGUUCCUUCCUGAAAACAGUCUCGUUCCGUUAACACUCAACAUUCUCGACGAGUGACUGUGAGAGCA